CCUGUCCCUAAAGACAUUGCAGAUGUAGCUGCUGUGUCACAUGUGCAUCUGUAGGUGGCAGAGAGGAGGAAGGCUAUGUCUACUCUCAGUGUUCUGACCGACAAACAUCUGAAUGAUUAGCAGUCUGAUACU
RNAcentral lists this small nucleolar RNA (132 nucleotides) under Mus caroli (Ryukyu mouse). RNAcentral describes it as "predicted gene, 24982 (MGP_CAROLIEiJ_G0036608.1)". It matches the Rfam family "Small nucleolar RNA SNORA17". From Rfam's summary of the family: snoRNA ACA 17 belongs to the H/ACA family of snoRNAs and is predicted to guide pseudouridylation of the 28S rRNA at positions U4659 and U4598. It shares the same host gene together with ACA43. The record is from RNAcentral. Lineage: Eukaryota; Metazoa; Chordata; Mammalia; Rodentia; Muridae.